Long non-coding RNA from Sitophilus oryzae (rice weevil), 451 nucleotides. RefSeq lists it as uncharacterized. The record is from RefSeq and is a predicted model, not a curated record. The transcript is spliced from 2 exons. Lineage: Eukaryota; Metazoa; Arthropoda; Insecta; Coleoptera; Curculionidae.
AUAAUAUCAAAGAAACAGAAUUACUAAAGUUGGUCGAUUUCAAAGAUAAACAGAUAAAAUCUGAAAAUCUGACAACUGCGCAUUUUAUUUAUUCGAACUAUGGAGUCUAAAAGGAGGAGGCGAAUCGAACGCAAAAAUUAUGGGCCCAGUUUUUGAGAUCUAAAUGAAGUUCGAAAAUCGCCGUUAGGGGCGCUUGUGAUGAUUGGGAUACUAGAAAUACACAGCUUCUUAUGGCAAGAAUAACUAUUUUGUUAUAAAUUAUAGAGCCAAGUUAAUAUUUGGGCAUAUUUUUACCAGAGUUAGCUUUUAGAAACGUGGUUUUCUAAUUGAGCAAUGUGCGUGGCUAAAAUUGUGAAUACAAAACCUUAAAUUUGAGUUUGAAAAUGCAUACACGACCGAAGAAACAUAUAAGCUGCUAAAAUAAAUCUUCCCUAGAACUGUUGUACAAAAA